AAUUUCCUACUAUGACAUGUGUGUUGGACAGUGUAGGGCAUAGCAAUGAUUAGUGAUUUUCAGCAGCCUUUCUUGAAUAGGCAUUGAAAAUAGCUAAACAAAAAAAGAGAAAUGAGCUGAAUUCUUGGAGUUAAUAUUUUGGAGUGAAUUAUAAAACAGAGUUCUUGCAAUAAUGCAUGUAAAUUAAAAAUAGGUUAGCAAAGCAUGAGUAAAAAUAGUCAAUUUUCAAAUACUUUUCACAGCUCUCCGAGUCUGACAUAUUUCUCUGGCUAAAAGGGAAGAAACAUAUCGGCACUCAUGUUGGGAAGACCUUAGAACAGCAAAGUACUAAAACUUGCCAAACCAACUUCAAGUGGCUUUCUUGUUAGUGCAAUACACACUGCACUGAGUUCCUGAGCAUAAUAUUUCCACCCUUUCCCACGGAGUCUGCUUAAAUUUGAAGAUUUUUUUUCUAGUAGGUGUAUUGUCCUUAAUUUUGGAGGAAGUUUUAAAAAGGUGGAUUAAUGUUAUAUAUGCUUCCGAGAAUAUUAUGCAACCAUGAAGCUUUGCACUUCAACAUAAAUGAAUCCCAAAAAGAGCCAGAUGAACUGUUGGCUGGGAGGCAGAGCCUUAGGAUGUUUCAAAUUCAUCGUGACUUCACAUAAAGGUCCUCUCUGGAGUAUGAAAGUCAAUUUUACAGGUGUAAAAUAAAGGAAAAGACGACAGUCUGAAAGUCAAACGAAAUUCCAGGACCACCUGUAUUUCAGUGAGGCUAGACCCUCCACUAUAACACUGAAUAGAAUUAGAGAAAACAGCUAUCUUGCCUUGUUCUCUAUCAUAGAAGGAAGCAUUCAGAAUUCCACUACUAAGUAUAAUGGUCACGUGCCAUAGAUGGAGCAGAGUGAAGCAAGAUAAAGCCUGUUGAUUUUUCAAUUCUUGUAGUUUUCCUAAGCUUGCAGGCCUUCAGAUUUAGAGUGGAAAUAUACUGUCAUCUCUCCUGUGUCUCCAGCUUUCCAUGUGACCAUAGAACCUCUCAGACUCCAUAAUCAUAUCGACUGCAAGAACAAACCAGAAAUCCCAAGAGGACCCACAGACCCUCUGAAGGAAGCGACUACUCCUGCAGGACCCAGGAGACACCCUAAAUACUGUGAGUGCCCCAGCUGCAGAAGUGGGAAAGGGAGAGCCUCCUCUCCCAAACACACACCCCCGCUGGAGAAGCUGAAGGUCUGUUUGCGGGAGAAGUUUCCAACUUUACUUGGAGCUGAGUCAGAGAAAACUCCAAGUAUUUUUUGCAAGGAAAAGUUGAUGAUACUGAUGAUGAUGGUGAUGGUGAUGGUGGUACUGAUUAGAGUGCUGAUGGUAGUAGUCCUGUAACUUGAACAAGGUUACAGGACAAGUAGAAUAUGGCAGAGAUGGAAUUUGAACCCAAGCAAUCAAAUUCAAAAGACUAUACUCUAAAGCAAUGGCACUCAGGGAGUGAUCCAUCAGUGCCUGUGCACAACAAGGUCCACAACCUGGCAUUUAGUGGUAGGCCUGGAGCUGCUCUUGGUCAACAGUGUCAGAAGUUGGGAAGAAGAGCUGCAUAUCAAGCAGAAGAGAAUGAGAAGAAACAGGAACCCACUUCUGCAUCUGUCUAUAGCAACAUCUGACUAUAACGACCUUCAAAAGAUAAUGGCUGUUGCUUCAUUUCCAACCCUCCAAAUCUCAAGCAAGUAUAUCUUUGGGCCAACUGUAACCUAUAACUCUAUAGGGAAGAGGUUUCUGAGAACUCUGUGUCACAGCUUAACCAUACAAAGACAAUACAAACCAUCCCGAUGAUGAUGAUGGUUGGUAAUAAUGAAGAAAAUAAUAUGAGUGUUUUCUCAAGGAAGGCUACUUCUUGAUGGCAGUUCUGGGAGACAUAAGAGAAGUUUUAUUUUUACCCAAAUGGUUGGUAAAUAAAUUACUGUGUGACAUGACAGAGUUCAAGUUAUAUGAUAUAGUAGAUUCACAUUAUGCCAAAAACUAUAAGACUCCCAGACACAGCCCAGGAAUUCAUUUUGAGAGCUAUCAUAGGCUUCUGAAUGUGCUACCAUCUAUGCUCUUAAUUUAAACCUUAAUUUGCUGUGUGGACGACAGACUACUCUGAAAACAACCCCAAAUGCUUCAGUGCAGGACUAUGUGUCGUGGAUAAAGUAACAAAAUUACAUAUUCAACCCAUUAUGGCCAUCCUCUUGUAUGGAAGAUGUAGAUUGUUACCAAUAUUUAACUCUUAUAAUUAACUUGAAUAAAUUUCCUUACAAAAUAAAUAUGUACACUUGUAAAUAUUCCAUUAUAGUAUCUUUCUUAGUGUAGAUAUCCUGGAGUAAAAGAAAAAUAUUUACAAAACAAGGUAACAAUUUUUAAAGCAAAAUAUCUAUUAUCAAAUUGUUCUCCAGAUAGGUAUUACCAAUUACACACCCACCAGCCCAGCAGUGUGAAAAUAUCACAUCUCCCACACCCCCAUCCACACCCACGUGGAAAAUUAUUAUUAAAAAUUAAUUUUUACCAACUUGAGAGGGAAAUGGUCCUAUUUUAAUUUUUUCAGGGGUGGAUUCAUAUGUUUACUAGAUAUGUAUAUGUAUCCUUCUAUGAGAUACUUGUUAGGUUAUUUCCCAUUUCUGUGUUGUGGCAUUAAUUUCUUUUUCUUGUUAAUAAUGCUCCCGAAGUUUUAUGUCAGUCUUUUCAUUUGUUUAUAGUAUUUUAUGGCAAAGGAUUUUCUUAAUUAAGUGGUUGUAGUCAAAUCUGCUAGUUUUUAUCUUUGUUUUCAGUUUGCAAUGUCAUGUAUAGACAUGCCUAUCUACCACCGAAAGUAUUUUAAAAAGCAAUGUGUAGGUUUUCUACUUUUGAAGAAUGUGCGUUUUCUACUUUUGAAGUAUGUGCAUUUUCUACCAAAGUCUUUAGUUUGUUUGAUAUGUGCAAUGAAGAAAAAUAUCUAACAAUACCUUAACUUUUCUCGAAUAAUAUUCCAAUUAUCCUAAUAUCCUUUGUGACUUAAACUUCCUAUUCUGACUUAAAAAGACUUUUAUCAUAAGUGCUCUACUUAAUCAUAGCCUUAGCACAUAGUGUGAGUCCUAGAGUCAGACUACAAGGUAAUUACUGUCACUUACAAGCUGUGUGACCUUAAGUGAUUUAAUUUAAUCAUCCUGUGACUAAGUUUUCUAAUCUGUAAAAUUGGAAUAAUGUGAGGAUAAAAUUAUCAUAAGGAUUAGCAAGCUGAAUUAACACGUGUAACGCUCAUAGACGACUGCCUGGCACAUAGUGAAUACUCAGGAAAUAUUACUGGUUGUUGUGUAGCGAGGUGUAUAAUGAAACACUGGUACAAUUUCAGAUUUUGGGUUUUGAGGACCGGGCUUAGAGGGUCACCUUGGGGAGAAUCUUGUAGAGUCCCACAUCUACCCUCUGCCUCAAUGAGAUACGAUCCUCCACUUUGAUGAGAUACUACCACUUGGAGAACUUGCUACAUGUCAAUCCCUGCUAUGGAGAAAGUAGACUUUUAUUCUAAUGCAGUAGACUUGAAAUCAUUUGAAUGUGAGAGAAGAGCUGGAGUCAGAAAGAGAUAAAAAGAGGGCCUGAGACUAUGCCUUAAAUUGUUAAUACAUUUAAGGGAUAGAAGAAAGAAAAGGAGAACCGUUAGAGAAGAUAGAAAGAAAUUGUUUCCUGGAUCAAAAACAGUUCUAGACUGGACUGUGUCUCCCACCCCUUUAAAUUCAUGUGUUGAAGCUCUAGCCCUCAAUGGGACUGUAUUUGGAGAUAAGACCUUUAAAGAUGUAAUUAAAGUUAAACGAGGUCAUAAGAGUAGGGCCCUAAUCCAAUAAAGCCUGUGUUCUUAUAAGAAGAGGAAGAGACUUCAAGGAUGCCUGGAAAGGCCAUGUGAGGACACAGCCAGGCAGGGGCCAUCUGCAAGCCAAGAAGAGAGCCCUCAGGAGAAACCACACUUGCUAACACCUGGAUCUUGGCUCUCCAACCUCCAGAAUUGUAAGAAAUAAAUUUCUGUUGUUCUAGCCACCCAGUCUGUGGGAUUUUGUUAUGGCAGCCCUGGCAGACUAAUACAGGAUCCAAGAGAAGAGAGAGUUUGAAAAAGGUGGGAGUGAUUGAUUGUGAGAAGUGCUGCUGAAAACACAACAAUAAAGUAAGCUGAGAACUUAAGUGUCUGUUGGAUCAGGAAAUAAGAAGUCAUUGUUAAUUUUGACAAGAACAUUUUAAUGGACUGAUAGAGGCAGAUUGCAGCGGAUUGAAGACUAAAGAGCAGGAUUCACAUAGAAAAUAUGGCAAUAUUUCAAAUCAUCAAAAUGACAAUAUGGCUGAGUAGGUGUUGUAUAAUGAAUAAAGAACUUCAUAAUUAAAUGCUUAUUCACAACUUUUAGUCUGAACAUCUUUUGCUGUAGGAGAUCUUGCCAAAUUGAUUCCCUUCGUACUUCCCAGUCCAAAUCUAAAUUAGUCACUGCUAUUACAUAUAUGUUACCUUAUCAUUUUUAAAUUGUAGUCUGUAUCAUAGUUACUUAUACUUCUGCAGUUACUUAAUUUUCUCUCUCACGAGGCAGUAAGCAAUGUGAGAACAAGGAUCAUAUUUGGUUUAUUCCAUUAUCUAUGGUUAGAACAUAGUGGACAUUUAAUAUGCAUUAAAUAAAACUAAAAUUCAUUCAACAAUAUGUCAUUAAAAUCUUUACAUGUCAAAUAUAUCAUUUUACUGACUGGAUUUUAUGUAUACAUAUAAUUUACACCAGCCUUUCCUACUAUAAAUUAUACUAUCUGGAAUUGUUUAGCCAGUUAAGGAUUAAAUUCUGCCAUAAAAUUUAACUUUUUUCUUUUUUCUCCAGAAAAACUGUUUUGACCCUGGGCUUUUUUUGCAAGUAGUUUUCUAAUUUUCUAAAUAAUUUUUUGGCCUGUCAUGGUAGCUCAUGCCUACAAUCCCAGCACUUUGUAAGGCAGAGGUGAGAGGAUGGCUUGAGGCCAGGAGUUUGAGACCAGCCUGGACAACAUAGUGAGACCUAACUCUAUGUAUUAAAAAUACAAAUAAAAACAUUAGCAGGGCAUGGUGGUGCAUGUGAGCAUGAGAGGUCGAGGCUGCAGUGAGCAGUGAUUGCGCCACUGCACUCCAGCCUGUGCAACAGACUGAAACUCUGUCUCGAAAGAAAAAGAAAAAAAAUUUUCAUGGUAAUUGCCUUAUUCAAGUUUCCAGCUCUAGUUGUACAUAGCAUUCUCAUUUUUAAUCUGUGUUAAGUAAUUAUUUCAUAUUCUUAAUUCUAACUUUGAUGGCUUUUUUCCUUUAAAAAAACUUUAUUGAAGUAUAAUUUACAUAUAAUAAAAUGCACCUAUUAAGUUGUACAGUUUGAUGAGCUUUCACAAAUGCCACCACCAUAAACAAGAUAUAGAACACUUCCAUCACUCAGAGAAGUACACUCAUGCCCCUUUGCAGACAAUCACUUCUACCUCUGCCCAAGGCAACCACUGAUAUACUUUGUCAAUUUAGAUGAAGAUCUCAUAUAAAUUGAAUCAUAUGGCACAUAUUCAGCAGAACAUGGUGUCACAGGAAUUCAUCCAUGUAGUUGUAUGUAUCAGUAGUUGAUGCCUUUUUAUUGCUGCAUAGUAUCUUUCCAAUGAAACAUGUUAUUCUUUUCAAAGAAUAAAAAAAUUCUUUAGAAACAAUUGCUUAUCCAUUCACAAGAUGAUAAAUAUUUAGGUUAUCAUCAGGUGCUUGAGUUUUCUAUUGCUAUUUUAACAAAUAAACACAAACUUGAUGGGAUACAAUGACACAAAUUUAUCAUCUUAUAGCUCUGGAGAUAAAAAGUCCAAAAUAAGUUUCAUGGUACUAAAAUCAAGAUGUGGCAGGACUCCAUUUCUUCUGGAUGUUUAGAGGCAGUGUUUUCUUUCUUUUUCCAGCUUCUAGAGGUUCCCACAUUCCUUGGCUCCUAGGCUCCUUUCAUCUUCAAAGCCAACACAUCUUUCUCAUAGCUUCUUACCUCUGAGUUGACAAUGUCUCUUUUUUGCUUGUAGGUAGCCUUGUGAUUACAUUGGGCUUACCCAGAUCCAGAUCAUCUAGGAUAAUCUCUCUACCCAAGAUCUUUAAUGUAAUCACACCUGCAAAGUCCCUUUUGGGAAGAAAGGUAAUAUAUUCAUAGUUUCUGGAGAUUAGGCCUUUCCAGGCAAAGAGGUGGAAAUCUUUGUGGGGCCAUUUUUCUGCCUCCUACACAAGGUAAAGGAUAUUAUGAGUGAAGCUGUGGUGAGCAUGCAUGAACAAGUCUCUUGCGAACAUAGGUUUUUAUUUCAUUUAGUGGUGGACGUGCUGAGCUGGACAGUAAAUAUGUUUAGCUUUAUGAUAAACUGCCAAAUAGUUUUCCAAAAUGGUUGCUCCAUGUUACAUGCUCACUAACACUAUUUGACAUUUCAUUGACUCCUUAUCUUUUUCAAUACUCAAUAUUGUCAAACUUUCAAAUUUUAGCCAUUUAGUGGGUAAGGAGUAGUGUCUCAACUGUGGUUUUAAUUUGUAUUUUCUUGAUGACUAAUAUGUUGAGCAUCUUUUCCCAUGAUAACUGAUUACACAUAUAUAUUUUUGUGUGAAGUAUGUGUUCAACAUUUAUGCCCAUUUUCAUUGUUUUUUGUUGUCUUGUUAAACUGUAAGAAUGUGUGUGUGUGUGUGUGUGUGUGUGUGUGUGUGUAACAAGUGUUUUUUUAGAUAUAUAUUUUUUGAAUAUUGCCUCAAAGUCUUGGGCUUCUCUUUUUCUUAACUGAAUAUCUUUCUAUGAGCAAAACUUUAAACAUUUGGUGUAAUUUUUCAUUUUUUUCUAUUAUUGUGAGUAUAGUGCGUAGCAUACCAUCAUGAUGAUGAUUUUUUCCUAUCCUCCCACAAUCUGUUUUGUAUUUUAGCUUUUACAUUUAGUCCUGUGAUCCAUUCUGAGUCAGUUUUUGUGUACGGCCUGAUGUAAGGGUGAAGGCCCAUUUCUUUUCCAUAGUAAUACCCAGUUGUUUCAGUACUAUUUAUUGAAAUUACUGUAUUUCUCUUAUUGAUAUGCAUUGGCAACUCUGUAGAAAAUUAAUUAUAUUAUUGUACUUAGCAUUUUAAUAAUAUUUUAAAUCCUUUUGUUAAGUAUGUAUUGCUUAUAUUUUCUCUUUAUAUGUUUCUUUUGACUGUCUUUCUAAUACAUACCUAUUUAAUAAACAUGUCAAAA
Molecule: long non-coding RNA, 7166 nt
Filed under: Homo sapiens (human)
Lineage: Eukaryota; Metazoa; Chordata; Mammalia; Primates; Hominidae
Description: HSALNT0009572
Source: RNAcentral